GAAGACAAACGAGUUCUUCAAACAGUCCCACCAUAACAAUCAAUCUUACAAGCAAAACAUGGCAUAGGGAAAAAAAUGUGAAGCAAGCAAUGAGCAACCCACAAUAAUAGAUAUGCGAUGCACAAACAAUAUGAAUCUUAGUCCCUCGGUGUUACAGAUGCGUGCAAUGAGUCAGAGUAAGAGAGUAAAGAUGCAAGGAUCUACCAGUUCGGACGUAAAUGAAGAAAAAAAAUAUUGUCAGGUUAGUUGUCUUUGUGUACAUUUCGUUUCCCUUUGAAUUCCUUUUCCUUCUGUUAGAAUCCUGGCUAUGGAUGCCUUUGACGGUAAUAUGUGAGUAGCAGGUGCUUUUAGCUCAAAGUUGUUGAGAUUC
This 370-nucleotide long non-coding RNA is filed under the name Lathyrus oleraceus (garden pea). RNAcentral describes it as "Pisum sativum (pea) long non-coding RNA (PSAT_LNC040358)". The record is from RNAcentral. Lineage: Eukaryota; Viridiplantae; Streptophyta; Magnoliopsida; Fabales; Fabaceae.